CCUACGGGAGGCAGCAGUGGGGAAUAUUGGGCAAUGGGCGCAAGCCUGACCCAGCAACGCCGCGUGAAGGAAGAAGGCUUUCGGGUUGUAAACUCCCUUUCUCAGGGACGAAGCAAGUGACGGUACCUGAGGAACAAGCCUCGGCUAACUACGUGCCAGCAGGCGCGGUAAUACGUAGGUGGCAAGCGUUAUCCGGAUUUACUGGGUGUAAAGGGCGUGUAGGCGGGAAAGCAAGUCAGAUGUUAAAACCAUGGGGUCAACCUGUGGCCUGCAGUUGAAACUGGUUUUCUUGAGUACUGGAGAGGCAGACGGAAUGCCUAGUGUAGCGGUGAAAUGCGUAGAUAUUAGGAGGAACACCAGUGGCGAAGGCGGUAUGCUGGACAGCAACUGACGCUGAGGCGCGAAAGCGUGGGGAGCAAACAGGAUUAGAUACCCCAGUAGUC
This 443-nucleotide ribosomal RNA is filed under the name uncultured bacterium. Its description in RNAcentral is "partial 16S ribosomal RNA". It matches the Rfam family "Bacterial small subunit ribosomal RNA", at positions 338 to 795 of the family's 1533-position model. The record is from RNAcentral.